CGACCGGCGCACGGGUGAGUAACGCGUAUGCAACCUGCCCGUUUCAGCGGGAUAACCCGGAGAAAUCCGGCCUAAUACCGCAUGCGGCCAGGGGAGGCAUCUUCUUUCGGCCAAAGGAGGCGACUCCGGAGACGGAUGGGCAUGCGUGACAUUAGCUAGUUGGCGGGGUAACGGCCCACCAAGGCGACGAUGUCUAGGGGUUCUGAGAGGAAGGUCCCCCACACUGGUACUGAGACACGGACCAGACUCCUACGGGAGGCAGCAG
RNAcentral lists this ribosomal RNA (265 nucleotides) under uncultured bacterium. Its description in RNAcentral is "partial 16S ribosomal RNA". It matches the Rfam family "Bacterial small subunit ribosomal RNA", at positions 92 to 354 of the family's 1533-position model. The record is from RNAcentral.